GUGUGAUCUGGCAGCCGAGGGGUCACAGGAUGACAGGAUGAUCACUGAUGGACAGGAUGAUCACGGACGGACAGGCCAGCCACCAGAUCCGCCCUUUUUACUACAGAGACUUACAUAGAAAAAUAUCAGAUUUGAUGAAAAGCCAGUAAGUGAGCAGCUGACCAGUAUUGCAACAUAUGAGAGAGAAAGCACCUUGGCACCGCUGGAAUUCCUAGAUUCAAAUGCCCACUGCAACAGCUGUGAAUAUCCUGAACUCCUCGUGUAAAGCUAAGGGUGGUGCUGAGUGGCCUGACGAAGCGCGAACUCGCGCGAACACGGUCCGUUUGCCCAACCCCCCACGCCAACCCUCUCUCCUGCACUGUGUUUGUUACCUGCUCCAAUUCUGAAUAAAGCCUGAA
Molecule: long non-coding RNA, 398 nt
Organism: Hyla sarda
Lineage: Eukaryota; Metazoa; Chordata; Amphibia; Anura; Hylidae
Exons: 3
Source: RefSeq, a predicted model, not a curated record